GUAAGCUGUCUUUCCCCAGGGUACACCUUUGCGUGGGUGGCGCUUUCAGGGUCACGGAGUCUUUGCACUCCCUGGGGACCAGUGCGACAGGAUAGGGGAGUAGCGGCCUAGGUUCCAGCUCCCUUGGAAGAAGGCAGCUUUUGUGAAGUAGGAAGGAGGAAGCUCCAGGAACAGGAAUCUCACCUUGAAGGUCACUCCUCUGACCUCAGACUUCUCAACCACAGCUUUAGAGAAGAGGCAGGAAACUGCUAGAAAGGAGCAGGUCCUAGGUUUGCGUAGUCUGCAGUAGCAGUUCUUUAUUCUGCUCAGAAUGAGCAUUGCCUCACUAUCACCACAUCCAGAGGGCCUCACCAUGAUGGUGAAAGGUCUGGACCAAGCUUCAGAAAAGAUAGCUGUACAUUCAACCUUCUCUGUACAUUCCCAAAAAGAACAGAAAAAGAAUAAAUCCCAGAGAAAGAGAGAGCGCACAAGCAGGAGGAGCAACAGGCAGAGGGAAAAG
Molecule: long non-coding RNA, 499 nt
Organism: Lontra canadensis (Northern American river otter)
Lineage: Eukaryota; Metazoa; Chordata; Mammalia; Carnivora; Mustelidae
Exons: 4
Source: RefSeq, a predicted model, not a curated record